Molecule: ribosomal RNA, 408 nt
Filed under: uncultured bacterium
Lineage: Bacteria
Description: bacterial SSU rRNA
Rfam family: Bacterial small subunit ribosomal RNA
Source: RNAcentral
GAGUUUGAUCGUGGCUCAGGACGAACGCUGGCGGCGUGCCUAACACAUGCAAGUCGAACGAAGCACUGCGGAAAGAGACUUCGGUCAAUGGAAGCUUUGACUUAGUGGCGGACGGGUGAGUAACGCGUGAGGAACCUGCCUUUCAGUGGGGGACAACAGUUGGAAACGACUGCUAAUACCGCAUAAUGUGUUUUGGGGGCAUCCCCGGAACACCAAAGAUUUAUUGCUGAAAGAUGGCCUCGCGUCUGAUUAGAUAGUUGGUGGGUAACGGCCUACCAAGUCGACGAUCAGUAGCCGGACUGAGAGGUUGAACGGCCACAUUGGGACUGAGAUACGGCCCAGACUCCUACGGGAGGCAGCAGUGGGGAAUAUUGGGCAAUGGGGGAAACCCUGACCCAGCAACGCCGC